GGAGGGUGCAAGCGUUAUCCGGAUUCACUGGGUUUAAAGGGUGCGUAGGCGGGUAAGUAAGUCCGUGGUGAGAUCUCUGAGCUUAACUCAGAAACUGCCGUGGAUACUAUUUGCCUUGAAUAUUGUGGAGGUGAGCGGAAUAUGUCAUGUAGCGGUGAAAUGCUUAGAUAUGACAUAGAACACCAAUUGCGAAGGCAGCUCACUACACAAUCAUUGACGCUGAGGCACGAAAGCGUGGGGAUCAAACAGGAUUAGAUACCCUGGUAGUCCACGCCCUAAACGAUGAUUACUCGACAUCAGCGAUACACUGUUGGUGUCUGAGCGAAAGCAUUAAGUAAUCCACCUGGGAAGUACGAUCGCAAG
This 363-nucleotide ribosomal RNA is filed under the name uncultured bacterium. RNAcentral describes it as "bacterial SSU rRNA". It matches the Rfam family "Bacterial small subunit ribosomal RNA", at positions 527 to 892 of the family's 1533-position model. The record is from RNAcentral.